UUCAGAGGGGGACAACAGUUGGAAACGACUGCUAAUACCGCAUACGAUCUAAUCUCGGCAUCGAGGAUAGAUGAAAGGUGGCCUCUAUGUAUAAGCUAUCACUGAAGGAGGGGAUUGCGUCUGAUUAGCUAGUUGGAGGGGUAACGGCCCACCAAGGCGAUGAUCAGUAGCCGGUCUGAGAGGAUGAACGGCCACAUUGGGACUGAGACACGGCCCAGACUCCUACGGGAGGCAGCAUG
Molecule: ribosomal RNA, 239 nt
Filed under: uncultured bacterium
Lineage: Bacteria
Description: partial 16S ribosomal RNA
Rfam family: Bacterial small subunit ribosomal RNA
Source: RNAcentral